UGCAAGUCGCACGGAAUCAUUUUGGUAGUAAUACUCGAAUGGUUUAGUGGCUCACGGGUGAGUAACACGUGAAUUACAUGCCCUUCAGUGGGGAAUAGCCCAGGGAAACUUGGAUUAAUACCCCAUAGCCUCGCAAGAGUAAAGGUGGCCGCAAGGCUGCCGCUGAAGGAUUGGUUCGCGCCCUAUCAGCUUGUUGGUGAGGUAAUGGCUCACCAAGGCUACGACGGGUACCUGGUCUGAGAGGACGAUCAGGCACACUGGAACUGAGACACGGUCCAGACACCUACGGGUGGCAGCAGUCGAGAAUAAUUCACAAUGGGGGCAACCCUGAUGGUGCAACGCCGCGUGGAGGAUGACGGUCUUCGGAUUGUAAACUCCUGUCAUCUGGGAGAAAAACCUGGCCGUUAAUAGCGGACAGGGUUGAUAGUACCAGAAGAGGAAGGGACGGCUAACUUCGUGCCAGCAGCCGCGGUAAUACGAAGGUCCCAAGCGUUGUUCGGAAUCACUGGGCGUAAAGGGAGCGUAGGCGGCGCGGUGAGUCAGAUGUGAAAUCCCGGGGCUCAACCCCGGAACUGCAUCCGAUACUGCCGUGCUAGAGUAAUGGAGAGGUAGCUGGAAUUAUCGGUGUAGCAGUGAAAUGCGUAGAUAUCGAUAGGAACACUCGUGGCGAAAGCGAGCUACUGGACAUUUACUGACGCUGAGGCUCGAAGGCUAGGGGAGCGAAAGGGAUUAGAUACCCCUGUAGUCCUAGCAGUAAACGGUGCACGCUUGGUGUGAGGGGAUUCGACCCCCCUUGUGCCGGAGCUAACGCGUUAAGCGUGCCGCCUGGGAAGUACGGUCGCAAGACUAAAACUCAAAGAAAUUGAC
Molecule: ribosomal RNA, 867 nt
Filed under: uncultured Verrucomicrobiaceae bacterium
Lineage: Bacteria; Pseudomonadati; Verrucomicrobiota; Verrucomicrobiia; Verrucomicrobiales; Verrucomicrobiaceae
Description: bacterial SSU rRNA
Rfam family: Bacterial small subunit ribosomal RNA
Source: RNAcentral